This 1586-nucleotide long non-coding RNA is filed under the name Cricetulus griseus (Chinese hamster). RNAcentral describes it as "lncRNA (ENSCGRG00015031591.1)". Lineage: Eukaryota; Metazoa; Chordata; Mammalia; Rodentia; Cricetidae. The record is from RNAcentral.
GUGGUUGGAUGGUAUUCUGAAAAAUAAGAAAUAAAGGUUAAGGAGUGCCUGCCUUCAACCAGGCAGAGCAAGAUGGAAGUGGAAUCCUCUGGGCCACAAUGUCAUCCAAGGGGCAUCACAGCAGAGAACAACAAUGUGUGAAUAAUGGAGCCUACAUACCAGAAGGCUAGGACAUCUAACUACCUACAGGAAGCCAAGCUCCCCUUGAAGAAAUAAGCUUACAUGCACAAGACUGGGACAGUUCUCUCUGUUGGAUGGCAAGGAUCACUUCGGCUGAGUAUCCCUUUUCUGGUUGCUCUGUACUUAUUCAAGUUGAAAGGAUGAUUUAAAAGUAGUGAUUCUAUUAUGACUGCCUCCAUCAUCUUCAUCAUCAUCAUCAGCAGCAGCAGCAGCAGGAGCAGCAGCAGCAUUAUAAUCAGUGUCAUCGUCACAUCUUCAUUGCAAGUCUAACAUGAUAUAUAUGUCACUGCAUCAGGUAACAGAAUUUCAAGGAGGUAUAAAGGCCUUGAAGAUCUUAUAACCAAGUUUGGAAGUCAGAGUAACUACAUUUAGAAGCCAGCUGUUCUGUGAUGCAAAGUGCUGAGACUGAGCUAUGCAGCUGUGUGUGUCUACAGUGAAGGAUCACCUGGAUGUUUCAGUGAUGAUGGUGUGGAAGCUACAGUGAGUGAGGAAGAGCACAAGAACAUUCCCCGACACAGAGCAAGAAUUCACCCACUGGCAGACAAGGAAAGAGAAAUCCACACUUGAACCUCACGUUUUGAUGUAUUACUUAUGGAGUGUUCCUGUGACCUGUUAGCCACUGGAGUGUGUUCUCAGCAAAUGAUUAUAGACACCUAAUCCCUCACAUUUGACAACCUGUGUCGUAAGAGCCUUACCAUAUUUCAAUCCUGCAGAGGUGUUGCUCUGCAGAGGAGGGAGGGUCAUGAAGGAAAACGUCCCCAGCAUGUCUUCAGACUGUGUGUGAGGAAGUGGGAAGAGCCCAUAGCUGCACAUUGCCCAUUUUUCAGAGUGAAGAUUAAAGGUUUUGUUGUGUCUGUAUGGGCAUCUCCACAUCUGAUAAUAUACCAUAUGACUAUCUAACUUUCCUAUUUGCCUUAUUUGGCCUAAAUUGUUGCUUGGCUGAAGUGUUCAAUCCUAGUCCCUCAAACAUGCCUAUGUUACCAUGUCCCUUUCUCUUGCCUUUGUCAAAGCUUAACAUAUUCUCAAGAAAGGGAUCAGAAUGUCUGGGACUCUAUAUUUUACCUAUACUGAGUGGCAGUUAUAACUCAUUACCAUACUCACACUCUUCUGUCUGAAAGACAGGCCUGCUUUUCUUAGUUAUAAAAUUUGUCCCAUUUUUUUGAUCUCCAAGUCUAGUGGAUGAGCUAUCUCAACUGUGCAUAGAGUAUUUGGCUAUGCUGGCUCCUAACAAGAUGCCAAGUGGUUCACUUGCUUUAUUACUCUUUCCAAAUUGAACAGCCAGCUCAGAGAGAUACACUGUGGCAUCUGCGGAGUGGACAAAAAUAGACAAUCAGUAAUUAGUUAAUAGACAACAAUUUUAGAAAUAAGAAACAAAAACUGAACAUUUUACAUGUGUUUAGAGUCCA